RNAcentral lists this ribosomal RNA (885 nucleotides) under uncultured Bacillota bacterium. Its description in RNAcentral is "bacterial SSU rRNA". It matches the Rfam family "Bacterial small subunit ribosomal RNA", at positions 21 to 917 of the family's 1533-position model. The record is from RNAcentral. Lineage: Bacteria; Bacillati; Bacillota.
GGCUCAGGAUGAACGCUGGCGGCAUGCCUAACACAUCCCAGUCGAACGGGGAAAUGAAGCUUGCUUCGUUUUCUAGUGGCGGACGGGUGAGUAACACGUGAGCAACCUGCCUAAGGGAGGGGGAUAACAGUUGGAAACAGCUGCUAAUACCGCAUAAAGUGACAGGAUCGCAUGAUCGAGGUCAUGAAAGGAGAAAUCCGCCCAUAGAUGGGCUCGCGUCUGAUUAGCUAGUUGGUGGGGUAAAGGCCUACCAAGGCAACGAUCAGUAGCCGUACUGAGAGGUAGAACGGCCACAUUGGGACUGAGAUACGGCCCAGACUCCUACGGGAGGCAGCAGUGGGGGAUAUUGCACAAUGGAGGGAACUCUGAUGCAGCAAUGCCGCGUGAGGGAAGAAGAUUUUCGGAUUGUAAACCUCUGUCCCAGCCGAAGAAACGAAUGACGGUAGGCUGGGAGGAAGCUCCGGCUAACUACGUGCCAGCAGCCGCGGUAAUACGUAGGGAGCAAGCGUUAUCCGGAAUUACUGGGUGUAAAGGGUGCGUAGGCGGCUAGGCAAGUCAGGCGUGAAAUGUACAGGCUUAACCUGUGAACUGCGUUUGAAACUGCAUAGCUUGAGUAGAGUAGAGGCAGGCGGAAUUUCCGGUGUAGCGGUGAAAUGCGUAGAGAUCGGAAGGAACACCAGUGGCGAAGGCGGCCUGCUGGGCUCAAACUGACGCUGAGGCACGAAAGCAUGGGGAGCAAACAGGAUUAGAUACCCUGGUAGUCCAUGCUGUAAACGAUGAUUACUAGGUGUGGGGAGAUAGACCCUUUCCGUGCCGGAGUUAACACAAUAAGUAAUCCACCUGGGGAGUACGGCCGCAAGGUUGCAACUCAAAUGAAUUGACGGA